AGCAUCUUGGUGUGGUUUUCUCCAAAAAAACUUGAAAGUAUUCUAACUUGUGCAAGUAGUCUCACAACCGGGAAAGGAAAAUCCCCUAAAAAGUAUCCCUCCGUCAUGAAAGAUAUGUGAAAGUCUUUGUAGUGAGAGUAUAGCUUAGAUUUAUCCAUUCUUGUAUGGUCAUUUUGUAUAGAUUGGUCUGCCGCUGUUUUUAAGAGCCCUGUAAUCGCGCUCCUCAGCGUUUCAGGAUCAUCACAGGAAACAAGUGCAGGGGAGCCAUUAUUGUUAAGCAGAUUGGUGAGCUUUUUAAUGAAACCGAUGGGUGUGCCUGAAGCAUUAGACAGUUCCCGUGUUGUUUUAAAAAAUACGUGACAAUCUGUCACUACUCAUAUUUAACACACGCAGCCAAUAUUUCAGGGUUAAUUUUAAAGCUGUUACACUCAAUGAGAUAUGACCGGUUUCUAAUCUGAAUAUGUAGCCUGGAGUGUAUCUGGGCAGAUUGAAUAUUGAUAGAUAGAAUAAUAGAAGACAUCAAUAAAAAAUAUCAAAAUAAUACUUUGUUUGAUUCAGAGUGCAAAACCAGGAAACCAGAUUUAUAACAUUGUCAUAUAUAAACCAAAGGUUGCAAGAAAUUUCACCAAUAUAUUAAAAAUAUAUAAAAAUUGCAUGGGAACUUGUAACACUGAGAACUUUGAGUGUUGUAGCGCAAGAGAAUAUCUAUACUUUUAUAAUAACUUAUUUCAACACCACAUCAAACCUCUUUCUCAAGUUGCAGAGCCAAUGUGGAGACACCAAUUAAUACAAGUGGCAAUUUGGGCCUUUGUAGACAAAUGUUGGUUGUACCUACACUCUAUUGUUACCUUUGGUAUUUUACUCACCCCAACUAGAAGACUGUUCAGUGAAACCAAUUCUGUGGUUCCAGACUUCCAUCAAUGGUGGAGGAUACAUAAGUUUGCCAGGCCUGGACAACUGGCAGAUUCCACCCAGAUGUUGGAGCUAGAGCAUCAGUCUGAUGGCAAGUCUCUUUUUAUUGCUCUCAUUUCUAACCUUUUGUUAUCACAAUGUCAUGUGUCUCUAACCAUUUGUCUUCUUCUUUCUUAUCUCAUAACCAUUUGUCUUCUUCUUUCUUAUCUCAUAACCAUUUGUCUUCUUCUUUCUUAUCUCAUAACCAUUUGUUAUAAUAUCUAGUGGGAAUUUAUUAAGAGAGUCCCAAUUUAUAAACUGAAAGGUGUCUAGGGUAGAAAGGGGAAAUUUUUUCCAGAUUCUUAUCUUUGUUGAUAGCAAUUCCAGACAGUCCAGUUUCAAGUUGGCUACUGUCAGUGUAAAUUGUGAUGUCGAAGAGGGAGCUAUUUUCCUCAAUGAUUUGGAGGCCAAGAGCUUUAAGUAAUUCUGGCUGAGUUUCAUGUUUGUGGGGAUUGGCUGGUAGAUGAGGGAAACAGAUGAGUUUGUUGAGAGUUCUGUGUGGGGGAUAGGAAGUUCUGUGUUUGGGAUUAAUUGGGAUGUCUAAGAGAUUAGAGUUGUGAGCCAUGUUGAGAGGAGUUGGGUGUUUUAGUCUUUGAUUUGGGACCCAAUUUCUAAAAAUUUUCCUAUAAGAUGUUCUUCUGGAGAGUUUUUGGUUAUGAAUUUUGAAAAGCAGGUUUUUCUCCUUAGGUGCAGGGAAAGAAGGUUGUAUUUGAGUUCAGCAAUGCGAUUUGGGCAAGAUCCUUGAAGCCCCCUGAUGAUUUGAGCUGCGCUUGGAUUCUGGAUAUAUUGGUUUUACUUGCAUUGAUCCAGGCUGGUGUAGCAUAUUCCAAAAUAGGUCUUACGAGUGCAAGGUACGUUGUGCGUAAGAUAUUGGCAUUUGCACCCCAGUUAAGCUUGAUAUUUUAUUCAGGAUUGUGAAUCGGCUUUGUUUUAUCAUGGUGUCACUAUGUUUUUUAAAAGUCAGAGCAGGGUCAAGACACACCAAGAUAUCUUGGGGAACCGGAAUAUUGGAUUAUUGAGUUGUUCAAUGAAAUAUUUGGGGUCCACUGGCGAAGGUGGUUGUUGAUGGUGAAGAGGCCAAUUUCAGAUUUGCUGAUGUUUAUUAAUAAUUUCAGUUUCUCUGUUAUCUUUUGCAGAUUUUUCAUGGCUUUAUUCAGAGAGAGUUCUGCAUCAGAGAGGUUGUUUUUGGAGACCCAGAUGAUUCUGUGUAAAGGGCAAAUAAGAUGAUAAUUGAAACUGCUGAUAAUUGGGAUAUAUGAUAAUUGUGACACCAGAUAAUUAGGACUAAUUAUGUCUUCUUCUGUCACCCAAUCAUGAUUAUAUUUGUGACGCCUGAUAAUUGUGACUCCUGAUAUUUGAGACUGCAGAAAUGAUCCCUAAUAAUGUGAAACAUUCCUUUAUACUGGAUUCCAACAAUCAUUGCCAGGACCUGUUUGUUGCAGCACUACUAUGGAGCCUUCACAUGGAGCUCCUGCCAAGGAAACAAGACUGCUACCAAGGUUCCCUCCUACACCUUCACUUAUCCCAGAGAGGGUUUUGAAGGUCAGAUCCAACCUAUGGUAUAUUAAAUCAAUAAUUUCAGCAAGCAGCCAAUAGAGUUCCUAUGCAGUAGCUUCCUACUGAGUGAUGAUUUAUGAUGAGUGACAAGAAGCACUGUCAAUAUUCACACCGCCAGGCCACAGUCCUAAUAUGAAAUUCAGCAACUUGCUACGCUGAGCCUUACACACCAUUUUUAAACUUGGCUCAUAUUUUAUUACAUAUGUACACCCCUCUUUUUUUUUUUUUUUCAGAACUUAUUUGGCAAAAAAAAUGAUACUCACACAAGCACUCUAUGGUAUAUUGCACCAAUAAUUGCAUCAAGCAGCCAAUAGAGUUCCUAUGCAAAGAUUUCCCAGGAUUUAAUCAACCCUGAAUGCCAUCAGGUGUUGUUCCACCAUCUAAUAACAAUAGUCCAUCAUUGAGGUUGGGUUGGUUGGUCCUCUGGUAGGUCAAGCUCCUGGCUGACAUGAGUGUAUUGUGAGGAUUAUUACAAGUUCUCUUUCAUUGGACGUCAGGAAGUUUCUCUGCUAUGUCCACAAAAGGUAACUUGCCCCGUUGAUCUAGCAGAUGUCUUUGAUUAUUGGAGCUCUUUGACAGGCCCAUACCACUAAAAGGAUUCCCUAGAUAAAACUUGUAGGAAUGUAUUUUAACUGUGCACACACAUAUUGUGAAAAUAUACAAGAAUGGAACAUAGCAUUUGUCCAGAAAGUAGGUGGUGUUAGGGGGGGGUCUACAUAUUAGUAGAAAAACCAGGUAGCUCUCAUUAAAUCCAAAGGAGAAAGGACAGGGCAUAUUUUAUCCAUUAUUUAUAAGCCAAUAUAGAGCAGUAAAACUAUCUUUGACCUAUCAGAACAUGUAAGAACUAUAAUAUAUAUUACCUGUGCUAUACACACCUUCUCAUAGUAAUAUUUCAACCAAAUUGUGGACAACCUCCAGGUGAGGCUGGGUUAGGCCUUUCAUGGGUGGAGACUUGUGCAUUGUAUAGAAAUCCAUAAAGUAAUGUUCACCUAUUUCUUUGACACCUGAAGUGUUAUUAUGGAGACCUAUCUGUAAGUUGUACAUCUUUAAUUCCUGUAAAUAAUUUCUUGAAAUCUCUCUUUUCCAGAAUCAUACUUGCAAUAUAUGUUCAAUAUUUAAAUGAUUUACCUUUCCAUUUUGAAGCUAUAUAGGAAUUUGCUUCAUGUAUAAGCAGCAACCUAUGUAAGCACACCGUAUAUACACUCUGGUGGAAUAGUUCACUAAGGGUGAUGAACGCAUACUUUUUGUCUAAAAAACUUGUUGGAGUAAGACCAAAGCGAGUGUGUAUGUUGUGUGUGGCGGAGGUGAAUCUGUCCCACGCCCAAGUUUUGACAGCCGCGCAAGGUGGUAGCAACUCAGGAGAUCAGAUUUCUCUACUCUUUUGGCGAGCACUUCGACGACAUCGUUAUUAACGAUCCCACUGUGGCCUUUAAUCCAUCGUAUGGAACACCUAUUCAUGUUGCGGUUCAGUUAUGAAAUCAGCCACAAACCCUGUUGACCAGGAGGUUGCCUGAGUUAAGAACGGAUUUCAAAAAUGAAAGGUUAUCUAGGAGAACUUCAAUAUUAAUAUUUUCAGGAAGCUUUGAGGCAUCCUCAAGUGCUUUAAUCAAGCCUAGUGCCUCCGCUUGGAAGACAGAACAGUACAGGGACAGGACAAAACUCUCACGCAAUUCAUUCAUGGAGCCAUUCGCACACACUCAAUAUAGGCCUGUGCCAACUCCAGUUUUCGUCUUGGAACCAUCUGUGUAGUAGGUGACGUCAGCCGAAAGAUCAGGAAUAUUAAUGGGAGCGGAGUAAUAGGGAGGAUAGGGAAGUGGGUGAGAGCAGGGAGGAGGCUCGACUGGAAAUUCAGCGUCAACAAAACUGCUUUUUAAACUACAAUUCCGCCUUGGCGCGACAUCCAGAUCGAGAGGGAGAACACGGGAAAGAGAGAUGAGAGAGCUAUUGUCAGUUGUUUCAAACGCGCGGCAUGUCCUGAUGAGGAACGGGCGCUGCGCGCUUAAGAGAGUGUUUAAGGAUCGUUGUUUAAGAUUAGAAAACCACACAGGAGAAGCGUAAGAAAUGGCUGGAACCACAACCUGUAGAUAAAGCAUCCUCAGGGCACGGAAUCCAAAGCUAAAGUUGGAGCUGGCAGCUGCUGUCAAACGCGGGAGAAAACCGCGGACUCUGGUGCAAACCUCUACCACAUGCUGGUUGAAGGUGAGACGCUGAUCAAACCUUACUCUCAGCACUUUGAGGCGCUCCAUUGAAUGGGUUGACCAUUAAUGGUCAGAUUGCAGCUAGGCUUUAGUUGUCUGCCAGAAGGUCUUAGAAGGAGCAUGGUCUGACACUUCAUCACGCUAAGUUCCAGUUUAUGCAGGCCACACCACCUCGUGAUCUCGUUAAUGGCAAGUUGCGCCGCUCCAAGUUGAUUAGCAACUUGGCCCGCCACCACCACAACAAGAUCGUUGGCGUAGGCCUGCGGGUGCACGCAAUUUCUAAAGUUGAGCGUGAGGAGCUCGUCAAAGACAAGGUUCCAAAGAAACGGCCCAAGAACUGAGCCCUGUGGGCAGCCCUUGGAAACCUGUCUCGUGACCGUGCAACCAUUCAUUGACAGUCUGACAACACGAUUAUUGAGGAAGGAACAAAUUAAAACAAACAAGUUCUUUGGACAGUCAUUCAUACAUAGAGCUCGCAAUAUGCUGGAGUGUAGCACAUUGUCAAAGGCACCUUUCACAUCAAAGGAAAGAAGAAUAGAAGAUUUCUCGCCCUCCUCCCACGUGAUCGUGCCGUGUUGACAACAUGAGCAAGUUAGCGUCAAGGAAGUUUUCGACAAUUUCUCUUUUGGAGCAUUUGUAUUUAAGCAACCACGCUUUAUUUGACCAUCUAUAGGAUUCAAUAUUAAAGUCGCCACAACCACAAAAAAUUACCUCAUGGAAAUUAAUUGUUUUUAACCGGUCGAUUUCACCCAGUUCCCCACCUAGUCCUACACCAACUUCAUAUUGUAGGAUCUGCCUAAAGCUUCGGGUUUCAGGACAGUGGUGUCGGGUGGAAGGGAAAGGGAGAAGCAGAUCUCAUAGUGGUCGGAAAGGUCGGUAGGGUAUGAGGUCCACCCGGAGACGGAGGAGAGGAUAGAGGAAGAGACGCUGGAGAUGUCAAUGGAGGAGGAGCUGGAGCCCUGGGAGCGGGUGAUAGCUCCCCAGGUGUUACAGACCUUGAGGUCGAGGGCGUCGAGAAGGGUGUUAAUAAGAGAGCCUUUAGAGUUUUGUUUUUGUGAGCUCCAGCGGGAGGAAACAGCGUUGACGUCUCCAGCGAAGAGAAGGCGGGGAGGGGGUGGGGAGCCAAAGAAGGAGAUAAAGGAGUCGACGAUGGGGGAGUAAGAAGUGUGGUGGGGGAAGUAUACGGAGCAGAGAGUAAGGUGAAAGCCGGGGAUGUCAAGGAUUGCAAGGGUGCGGCUGGUGGCGGAGAGUCGUGGGAGGAAAAUGACGGGAAGGCUUUGGUUAAGAACAAUUAUACAGGUGUUACACCGGUUGUUAGCAGCGGUUGUUAAAUUUAGGUGAAGUUUUUUUUUUUUUUUUUUAUGCAUUAUUUUUGAUGUUUUAAAAAAAAAAGAAUACAAACAUUGAAAAGUGCAUUUAUUUACAAUAAAGAAUACAAACAUUGAAAAGUACAUUUAUUUACAAUAAAGAAUACAAACAUUGAAAAGUACAUUUAUUUACAAUAAAGAAUACAAACAAUGAAAAGUAAAUUUAUUUACAACAAUGAUUUACAACAUGAUGGUGAAAGAUAAACAGUACACAGAAGGAUUGACAAGUCAUUCACUUCACACAGGACAAAUACAGCAUUCACACAAGACAAGUGUAUGAUUUUUAAAUUCGGAUUUGCUAUUAUUACAGCUGCUCCCAAUUUAUUUUCGAUUAUUGGACCGUGACAAACCCUGUCAAGGGGCACAGGUAGUGAUGGUAAAUUGUUUUUGGAAACUGGGAGUUCUUGCAACAAAAGCACAUCCGAUUUUUCCUCGCGACAUUCAUUCAACAAGGAGUACAAACAUUAUGGAGAGCGUCUUACAUUGGCUUGAACACACUUAAGAACGUUCAUCGCACCAACAAUUUAUUGAAAUUACCCUGUGCCUCCCGCAUGUGUUUGCACGCCAUGGAGUUGGCACUGUGUUUGUCGCCACACCUGUGACAUUUCAAUGCUGUUUUAUUUUCACAGGUUUCGGAAAGAUGUGCACCAGCGCAGUGGCUACAUUUAGCCGCCCUAGUGCACUUCUUUCCGUUGGUGUGGGUCCUGUGACUUAAACUGCCACAGACACCACAUGGGAAGACGCGCUUUGCUCUAGCGAGAGGAAGGCAGUCUCAACUUCCUUGUUUACUUCCACUAUCGCGGUGGAGGGGGCACCCUCUUUCCUAAUUAGUUUCACCAUCCUGAUGUCUUUGCCACUUUUCAGCAGCUUUUCGACAGCGGGAUGGUUACUAAUAUCAGCCACAAGCUGCUCCUCAGUUUUCUCUCCAGGAAUACCGAAGAUAGCAAGCCACAUUCUUUAAACAGGGAGUUUGGGUGAUUUUUGCCCUGAUUUCACUAACAGACAGCUCCGCAUGAUUAAUGCUGUUACGCAGCAUAUGCACGUAACUUGGUCGUGUAGGUUUGGUUGGCUUAACACCAACAUUGGGUGGUGGUGCAGGUUUGGCAUUUUUAGCAGAGGCUGCGUAUUGCGCCCUAAUCUCAGCAAUUUUAAGAUCGCAACCCUUCAACCCAGUUCCCCACCUAGACCUACACCAAUUUCAUAUUGUAGGAUCUGCCUAAAGCUUUGGGUUUCGGGACAGGAGAGGGUGGUGUUGUCAAUUAGAAGAUGGGGAGGUUUGCAGAAAAUGGGUAGAACUGAUGAGCUGAAUUUCUGACGCUAUCGUCCCGAAAUCCAUGAGCCCCUUUCAUUCUCAGGGAGUUCACGAAAAUAAUACAUCCUGCUAUAUAAAAGGUAUAAUUUACAUGUGUCCUGCGCGCACUGGGGUUAAAAAAAAAAAGAAUGACAGGCAACUAUAUGUUUGGAUUAAGAUGACAAUAUAUUUAUUUAUUUCUUAGAACAGUCAUACAAAGAUAAGAAUAAAAUAAAUGAAACGGGCAAUGAGGAUUGAGUGGGAGAAUUUACAAGAAUAUACUUAUUAAAAAAAAUCAUUAUUGGAAGAUACUUAACUUUAGUGCUUCAGCUGGAUGGCUUGGAAAUCCCUCCCCUAAAAUCUUGUAGAACUACAUUUUUUGUGAUUUUUUACGAGCUUUUCUAUCCUAUCUUAUCUCUAAGACCGACUCUCACUAAAGCUUGCUCGUGACUAACUUUUUCUCCCCAGGGUGACCGAAAAAAAAAAGAAUUAAUAAUAAAUCUUUAUCUGGUCACCCUCUGUGAUAAAAAAAAGAAAUUUUUAAAAAUAAAAAUAAAAAAAUUAUAAUAAAAAUUAUCAUUCGGAAUAUUAAUUUUAAAAUAUAAAAAAAAAAAAAAGAAAACCCAAAUAGCUGCUUAUUUAAAAGAAAAAUGAAAUUUAUUAUAAUUUAUAUACAAAAAUUGGAGAUAAAAAGGAGGUGAAGAGAUGGGCUGGUUUGACAAAGAAGAAUGCUCGAAGUCCGCUUCUUUCUUGUCGAGGCAGCUUCUUCAUUGUCCACCAGCUUUCCAUUGAUACUGUGGGUGAACUUUAUGGAGGCCCCAGAAGUGGCCUCUACAGAACCAGGGAACUCCAGGGAGGAGACGGCAUUGACAUCUCCAGCGAACAGAAGGCGAGGAGGAGGUGGUGCGCCGAAGAGAGUGAGGAAGGAGUCUACUAUGGGGGAAUAAGAAGCUUUGUGUGGGAAGUAAACAGAGCAGAUAGUGAGAUGGAAGCCUGGGAUGUCGAGAAUGGCGAGGGUACGGUUGGUGGUAGAAAGGCGAGGGAGGAAGACCACAGGCAGGCUCUGGUUAAGAACCAUGAUGCAGGUGCUGCACUUGUUCUGUGUGAUGGGAGCGUGAAGGAAAGAGGCGGAGGGGAUUGGGAAGGGAGAGGCGAGAAGGCCUUUACGGACCGGCAGUUCUUGAAGCAGGAGGAUAUCUAUGUGAGAGGACUACGCGGUUUCGAGAAUAGAGAGGAAGCAGGGGAGGGAACGGUUGCAAUUUAGCUGCAGGAACCUAAUCAUGGGAUUCCAUGCGUUGUGAGGAAGGCAGACUCUGCCGCCUUAAUGAUCGGGCAGGCAAGGGAAUCCGCCCGGUGUUGGUUGUUGCUGCUGCACCGGAAGCAUCUAGGGGGAGAGGAGAUUGCUGCGCAGUCGUUGAUGGUGUGGCCCUCCCCACAGUGCAAACACUUGGCCCGUUUGGGGCAGUCGUUGUGUUGGCGUAGGUUGCCACAGGAGCGGCAAGGGUGCGUUGUUCUUGUUCGCUCGAACCUGAUAGAGCUAAAACCAAUGAAGAGGCGAGAACGCGACUGGAGGUCCCUGGCUGUAGCGGUGUCAGUCUAUGAUGGCGUGUUUGUUGUUGUUGCGCGCAGCCAUUGUACGGACUAGCCUACAGCCGGCGCCCACGGAUUGGUUGAGUAGUGUGGGAAGGUCGUUUAUUGGGAGAGUCGGGAAUGUUAAAGAGGGUAUAGCGUGGUUUGAAUGUAGGGGACAGGUGCACCUUGAUGUUUGUUCCCCUAGUGGCCUUUAUCAGUUUUGUAUAGAUGUUUGUCAUGUUGUUUUUAGUGUUUGUAUGUAUGGUUAGUUUGUUGCGUGUGCGGUGUAUGUUGGUGAUUGGUGUGGUGGGCGUGGUAAGGGAGGAGAUGAAAAUUUUUGUGUAUAGUUUGGUGUCGAUGGGGGUGUUGAUGGAGGGGUCUUGGGUGAUUAAUAUAUGGAAGGGGUUGUUGUGGUUGGAGGGGGGUGUGGGGCGGUGGGAUGGGAAGUGUGUGGUGUGGCGGGAGGAGGGGAUGGGGGGAGAGGGAGUAGCAGAAGGGGGAAGGGAGGCGGCUCUGGCAAAAGAGUCAGGAGAGGAUUUGGGGAGGAGGGGGUGGGCAGGGGUUGAGGGAUAGGGGGAGAUAGAGGAAGAGGGUUAGGAGGGGAAGGAUGAGGAGUUUUAGGAGGAGGAAUGGGGGGGGUUAGGGUGGUAGUGGAAGGUUCAGUGGGGUGGUGUGAGGGUGGUUGUGUAAGUUUGUAUGUGAGGAUGUUGUUGGUGUGGUUGGCCUCUAUGAGGCGCUGGUUGUAUGUCUGUGUGAGGUGUGUGAAUGUUAUGUCGAGGGUGGUUCUGAAUUGGUCGGCGAUUGAAGGGGUGAGACCAUGUGAGAAAGGAGGUGGGAGUUGUUGUUGAUGGGGAACAGAUUGCAUAACAAUGGGGGGGAGUCAAUGGUAUAGUCGGAAUUGCGAAGGUGGUGUGGCUUGUAGGGAGUGUGGGUGGUGGUGACUGGGGGAUGAGGAGGGGUAGGUUCACUCACCCCUGGUUGACCGUUGAGAGGGCCGCCGAUUGUGCGGUCCAGGUGGCUGUCGAAGAUGCUGGGGCGCAGUUCAUCCCUGGAGGAAUCCGCACGAAGGGAGACACCGUUGAUUUUGGCCGUAUCUGACCUAUGACGUCAAAAUGACGUCGCGAUGUAAACAAAGGUUACGACUGGCUCAUUUUUUUUUUUUUUUUCAAAUUCGAUUUAAUUAAUGAUAUUCUAAAUACCUGCGACUAAUUUAUAGUUUCAAUAUAUAUAUAUAUAUUUUUUCUAUAUGACCUGCUAAUUUUAAAUAGAUUUUUUUUUAAAAUAUUUAGCGCAAUUGUAAACACGUGUAUGUUGUGAAUGCACCUUGAGAGCAAUGGUGUCCGAUAUUUAAAAUUAUUAUAAAAUUAAUUAUUAAUUUAAAUAAAUUUCGUUAUUAAUUUAGGUUAGUUUAAGUUCGGUUUAGGUUAGGUUAGGUUAAGGUUCGUUCAGGUUAGGUUAGGUCAGGUUCGCUUAGGUUAGGUUCGCUUAGGUUAGGUUAGUUUAAGUUAGCUUUAGGUUAGGUUAGGUUCAGGUUCGUUCAGGUUAGGUUAGGUUAGGUUCAGGUUUUUAUUAUUUUUAUAUUUUUUUGUAUAUUCCUAUUUAUAAAUAUAAAGUGGAGGUGCAGUCUUGGGGAGAGUUGGUGGAGUCCUCCCUGGAAGAAGAGAUGUCUGGGGGGGGGUGUAGUAUCCAGGAGGGGUGUGGGAGAAGGGGUUCUAGUAGGGGUAGGUCCUCGGCGGGUGGGGGAAUGGUGGACUGGUGCGCUGGGGCGGACAGGUGAGUUGCUGGGCCCGCGGCGGUGUGUGGUGUUGCUGUCGCCUGGAGAGGGGAGCUGGGAGUUCAGCGCGGCGGACGGAGGGACCGCGCUCGUCCGUGUCGAAGUGUCAAAUGGCCGAUUGCGGCCGCCCUGGAGAGCCCGCAUUUUCAUUGGCUGCGGGCAGAAAAAAAUCCGGGAAGGAUAAAUGGCGUAUUGCGGCCGUCCAAGAGAUCCGGGGAAUAAAAAUAAUUUUUAUCCUCUUCUGGUUUUUGGUGGAUUGGGGCUGGGCGCUGGGGAACAGGAGCACAGUAGCACAGGAGACCGGAAGCACUAUAGAAAAUUCCUAUUUAGCCUCCUUGAAUAUGCUGACACCACCAAAAAGAGUGGAUGCCCUUACUUCAGGCAGUAUCCCUGUGCCUUACCACGGGUGGGGGGUCACUAAGGACUGGCAAGAAGCGAUCCUAAUUCAAGGGAAGCUUUUGACUCCAAGAGUAUCCAGAAUCCUUACCACUGGUGGGGGGAAUAUCUGGACUCGUUGAAGUUACAGCAUCAUAUUGGUGCCAUUUUAUAAGGCGCCCCGAAGUCUAAACCUGGGUAGCUGAGAGCCAAUCAAAAUGGAGAGUUGAUGGCGACCGCUUUGGAACGAAUUGCUGACAUUGGGCACUUUUAUCUUUUUCAAAAUUAUUUUAUUUUUUAUUUUUUACCCUGUGUUUUUUGGCUUUUAAUGUGUGAAAACAAUAUAACCACAAGCUUCUCUUCAGUUUUCUCAGCAGGAAUCCCGAAUAUAGCAAGCCUCUGCUUGAAUGUAGGAUUCGUCUGGACUUUAAGUCUACCAAUGUUGGCGGACUUAAUGUUGUCCACAAACCUCUUUUUCUCAGAGGGGUUGGCGAAGUAGUGGACAAGUUUUUUUAUCCCCCCUGUCACCGCGGCUACAUCACAGUUCUUCAAACUAGGAGUCUGGGCGAUUUUUUUGCCCUGAUCUCGCUAACAGUGAGGUCCGCGGAAGCGAGCUUCGCGUGGUUGGUGCUGUUACGCAGCAUAUGCGUGUAACUGGGUUUAGUUGGUUUGACAGGCUUAGCACCUGCGCUGGUUGGCUGAGUGACUUUUGUCACCACUGGGGUUGGUUUGGGAGGUCUGGGAGCGACGGUUGGUUUUUUAGAGGCUGAUAGUUCAGCUUUGAUUUCUGCGACUUUAAGGUCACAGCACUUCAGCUUAUGCUGAAGGAUGCUUACAACAGUGUUUUGGAGCUGGUAGAGCAGACCAUCUAUUUUCAAGUAGAGAUUUUUAUUCUCUGUGGAACCUAGAUACCCGCUGAGCCUUAGCCCUACCUCAUGUUGCAGGAUUUGGCGGCAACCCUUAAAGGACGUGUCGAUUUCACCCAGUUCCCCACCUAGUCCUAUACCAACUUCAUAUUGUAGGAUCUGCCUAAAGCUUCGGGUUUCCUGACAGUGGUGUCGGGUGGAAGGGAAAGGGAGAAGCAGAUCUCAUAGUGGUCGGAAAGGUCGGUAGGGUAUGAGGUCCACCCGGAGACGGAGGAGAGGAUAGAGGAAGAGACGCUGGAGAUGUCAAUGGAGGAGGAGCUGGAGCCCUGGGAGCGGGUGAUAGCUCCCCAGGUGUUACAGACCUUGAGGUCGAGGGCGUCGAGAAGGGUGUUAAUAAGAGAGCCUUUAGAGUUUUGUUUUUGUGAGCUCCAGCGGGAGGAAACAGCGUUGACGUCUCCAGCGAAGAGAAGGCGGGGAGGAGGUGGGGAGCCAAAGAGGGAGAUAAAGGAGUCGACGAUGGGGGAGUAAGAAGUGUGGUGGGGGAAGUAUACGGAGCAGAGAGUAAGGUGAAAGCCGGGGAUGUCAAGGAUUGCAAGGGUGCGGCUGGUGGCGGAGAGUCGUGGGAGGAAAAUGACGGGAAGGCUUUGGUUAAGAACAAUUAUACAGGUGUUACACCGGUUGUUAGAGAUAGGAGCAUGGAGGAGGAGGGGGUGGGAAAUGGGGAGGGAAGGGCAUUGUCAAGGACCGGGAGUUCUUGAAGGAGAAGGAUAUCUAUAUGGGAGGACCGGGCAAAUUGUAGUAAGGAGAGGUAGCAAGGGAGGGAUCGGUUACAGUUAAGCUGUAAGAACUUAAGCAUUUAGGGCAGGUUGUGGGUGCUAAGGAAUGUGGUUUCAGCGCCCUUGAUGACCGGGCAGGAGAGAGAGUCCGCCCGGUGUUGGCCAUUGCCGUUGCAGCGGAAACAUUUAGGGGGGAGGGUGGUGGCGGUGCAGUUGUUGGUGAUGUGGCCUUCGCCGCAAUGGAGGCAUCUGGGGGGCUUAUUGCAAAUUUCAUUGCGGUGGCGGAUGUCACCGCAGUUACGGCAGGGGUGAGUUGAUCUGGUUCUGUCGAACCUGAUUGAGUUAUAUCCCAAAAAGAGACGGGUUCGAGAUUGCAGUUGGGUGGCAGUGUCGGAGUCGGUUUCGAUGACCGCGUGUGUGGAGUUGUUGCAGCCGGUAAAAGUUCUAAUGAGUUUGCAGUCAGUGCCUAUUGAUUGGGUGAGAAGGGAGGGCAGGUCGCUGAGUGGGAUAGUGUUGGGGAGGUUGAAGAGGGUAAAGCGGGGUUUAAAGGUGGGGGGGAGGUUGACGCUGAUGUUUGUGCCGUUGGUGGCAUUUUUGAGCUUGGCGUAGAUAGAGUCCAUGCUAUUUUUGGAGUUAGUGUGUAAGAUGAUCUUGUUACGGGCGCAGAAGAUGUUAAGUGAUUUGGGUGGAGGGAGUAUUGAGGGAGGAGAGAAGGAAAUUUUUGAGUUGAGGUUGUUGUCGAUGGGGGUGCAAGCAGAGGGGUCCUGGGUGAUGAGGAUGUGGAAGGGGUUGGAAUGGGGAGGGGGGCGGCGGGGAGGGUUGGGGGUUGAGUGUCGUGGGGGGGUGGUUGGUGGGGUGGGGGGUUAGCGGGAGGCGGUCGGGAGGCGACCCCGGCGAACGAGUUAGGGAUGGGCAUGAGUGGAGUGGAAUGGGGUGAGGAGCUGGGUACAGGGGUGGGGGAGGAGGAAGAUGGGGAGGCGGGUGAAAGCUGGGGGGAGGAGGAACGUUUGGUGAGGAGGGGGGGUGGAGGAGGCAGGGGGAGGCAUAGGUGGGCAAGGAGAGGAUGCAAGCAAAUUUUGUUUAAGGAGAUGAGUGAGGACGUUUGUGGCGCUGUUGGCCUCGAGGAGGCGUUGCUGAUAUGUGUUGGAGAUGUGUGUGAAAGUUUUUUUGAGGUCAUUGCGGAAACAAUCGGCAAGGGUAGGGUCAAAAGAGUCAGCAUAAGGGGCAAGGAUGUUGUAGGCCCAGGUUAGAUGUAGGAGGUGUGAGGGGUUGUUGGUGGGGAAAAGAUUACAUGUGGGUGGAGGUGAGUCGGGGGUGUAGUGUUGUUGUGGUGGUUGGCGUAGGUGAGGUGGCGUGUGAACAUAUGUAGAUGAGGUAGGGUGAAGAGGGGUUGUUCGUGUUCGUUAAAAAAAAAAAAAGGUGAUCGAUUGAAAGGAAAAACAAUGGGGGAAAUAAAUGCACAUUCACACAGUAUAACAAAAGGUUUUAUUUAAAAAUUAAAACAAAGGGCUAAAAACUAUUAUACUUAUAUAUAAAGAAUUAUGCAUAAAAAACAAGAAAAAAAAAGUCAAGCAAAAAAAGUAAAAUUAGCUAAUCUUAGGGAAGGGAGAUAAAAAUAAGUGGCAGGGGCGAGUGUCGAGCGUUGUGUUUGUACAGUACCUCGGGUGGCAGCACCGUCGCUGGCUUGGCUUGGGUUCCACUUGUCGCGGCUCGUUCGAUGUCCAAGGCGUCCUUUCCGCUCUCAAGUUGCCGCGUGAGGGAUACUCCAAGGUGUCCUUUCCGUCCACGAGACUCUGCUUGUGGGAUAUUUCUUAGACUUCUUUCUGUCCACAAGACGCUGCUUGUAGGAUAUUUCUUAGACGUCUUUCCGUCCACAAGUCGCUGCUUGUAGGAUAUUUCUCUGGCGCGUCUGCUCCGCCUGGCAAGCGAACUCAACUCUCCCCCUGGUCCGCUGCUUCUAACAAAAGAUGAUGCAACAUGACGCGCCGUCCCGGGGCUCGCAGAACAACCAAUCACAUUGCAGGCGUCCACGUGACUGCCUCCCCGGGCAUCUGCCGACCUUUGCCCUGAUCGGCCCCAGCUGGGACUUUCCCCGACCAUGUAGAUGUCUUGACCAUUUCAUUCAUCUUUUCCCCUCGUCUCCCUUCACCUAAGUCCUUCAUUCUAUGUACAAAAGUAAUGAUCGGUAAAAUAGUUUUUACAGGGGUGGAGGACAAUUUGACAAUUAAAACAGACUUUAUUGACGAUCUAGUCAAUAAUUACACUCAAUCAAGAGUUAAUGUGAAAAUUUACAGAUUAGGGGGGGGGGAGCAUUUCGCUGAGUAUGCGUAGGCCCUCACGCACAAAGGGAUCUGAGUUCCGAGCGCAUUCAGAUGCAGCGCUGAUGAUCUCGGCAAGAGUGGUUCUCUUCUGAGUGGAGAGGCGCCUGAGGAGAGGUUCCCUAUCCACGGGGAAAAUAAUCGCCUCCACGAUGUCACCCUCUGUGACUCCUAUGUUGGAUAAGGGCUCCGAGAAGCACUCACGGCUCAACGCAUAUAUAAUAUCGCCUGCCUGGUCGUAGCAGGCAUCUAUGAAUUGGGUAGACAGAGGAGGUGGAGGUGUCGCGAUGUCCGGCGACGUCCUUUCCCCGUGGAGAGCGGGUGGUGUUGGCUCGGCAGGCCGAGUCGCAGGCAGUGGGGGUGUUGGAGGCACUGCGGCUGGUGAGGUUUUCUGCUCCGCCUUGACCUGAUGUAGAACUUUGGAAUUGCCUCCGGGCCUCAGGUCAAGGAGUUGGUUAAUUACACCGGCGAGAGCAUUGCUCUGCGGGGGUGUCAGGAGGGGUCCGCGCUUAUAGGCCCUGGUCUUCGAGGAGAGGAGGUCUAAGACUUUAAAAUCUGUAUUCAAAAGUGAUUCCUCCAUUUUAAUUUGUUUUAUUUUUUGGAUAGCUCUUCUGAACCGUCUUUUGCUGUUAAAGAAAUAAGUUGCAGACUGACCAACUUUUCUUCCUUUGAAAAUAUCCCAAUCCUUGAAAACUAAAUGGUCUUCUUUAGUAGACCUAUAUUUUCUCUCGUCUAUCCAUUUAAUUUGGAAAAGGUUUUGCCCGAGCCAUUUGAGAUCUUCUCCAUAGGUUUCAAGGUUUAGGUGUUUUUUUCAAGAAAUGGUAUAAAAAUGGUUUCUUGGUCUGCUUCACGGACAUGUACAAAAGUAAUGAUCGGUAAAAUAGUUUUAACAGGGGUGGAGGACAAUUUGACAAUUAAAACAGACUUUAUUGACGAUCUAGUCAAUAAUUACACUCAAUCAAGAGUUAAUGUGAAAAUUUACAGAUUAGGGGGGGGGGGGGGAGCAUUUCGCUGAGUAUGCGUAGGCCCUCACGCACAAAGGGAUCUGAGUUCCGAGCGCAUUCAGAUGCAGCGCUGAUGAUCUCGGCAAGAGUGGUUCUCUUCUGAGUGGAGAGGCGCCUGAGGAGAGGUUCCCUAUCCACGGGGAAAAUAAUCGCCUCCACGAUGUCACCCUCUGUGACUCCUAUGUUGGAUAAGGGCUCCGAGAAGCACUCACGGCUCAACACAUAUAUAAUAUCGCCUGCCUGGUCGUAGCAGGCAUCUAUGAAUUGGGUAGACAGAGGAGGUGGAGGUGUCGCGAUGUCCGGCGACGUCCUUUCCCCGUGGAGAGCGGGUGGUGUUGGCUCGGCAGGCCGAGUCGCAGGCAGUGGGGGUGUUGGAGGCACUGCGGCUGGUGAGGUUUUCUGCUCCGCCUUGACCUGAUGUAGAACUUUGGAAUUGCCUCCGGGCCUCAGGUCAAGGAGUUGGUUAAUUACACCGGCGAGAGCAUUGCUCUGCGGGGGGUGUCAGGAGGGGUCCGCGCUUAUAGGCCCUGGUCUUCGAGGAGAGGAGGUCUAAGACUUUAAAAUCUGUAUUCAAAAGUGAUUCCUCCAUUUUAAUUUGUUUUAUUUUUUGGAUAGCUCUUCUGAACCGUCUUUUGCUGUUAAAGAAAUAAGUUGCAGACUGACCAACUUUUCUUCCUUUGAAAAUAUCCCAAUCCUUGAAAACUAAAUGGUCUUCUUUAGUAGACCUAUAUUUUCUCUCGUCUAUCCAUUUAAUUUGGAAAAGGUUUUGCCCGAGCCAUUUGAGAUCUUCUCCAUAGGUUUCAAGGUUAGGUGUUUUUUAAAGAAAUGGUAUAAAAAUGGUUUCUUGGUCUGCUUCACGGACAUGUACAAAAGUAAUGAUCGGUAAAAUAGUUUUAACAGGUCACUGAACGCCUUUUGGCAAGCUUCAUCCCAGAUCCACACGACAUCCUUUUUGAGGAGGUUAUUGAGUGGUGCUCGCAAGCGAGCGUAGUCCGGGAUGAAUUUGUUAUAGACGUUCACAGCGCCUAAAAAGGAUUGUAGUGUUUUUCGGUUGUGUGGUUGUUUAAUGGUGUGAAUGAUGUCUGUGUUGCGUGUGAGCGGUGUGGUUGUACCAGCUGUGACGGUGUAGCCUAGGAAAUCUAUGGACUGCUUAAAAAAUUUGCAUUUCGCGAAGUUAAGUUGUAACUCCUCUGCUUCGCAAAAGGCGAAAAAUUGUCGCAGGUGGUUUUGAUGUUCCUCCAAUGUGUUGGAGUAAAUGAUGAAAUCAUCAAAGUAAUGUGCCACACAGUCAAGUCCGUGUCUCUGUAGGACCUGACUAAUGCUCGUUCGUAGAUCUAAGGGCUGGUUUUUAAUCCGAAAGGUAAUCGAGUGGGUUGGUAUAACCCUUCGAGGGUGGCAAAUGCUAACAGUGGUCAAGAAUCGGGGUGUAUUGGGACCUGCCAAUAUGCAGAGGAGAUAUGUCGGCCGUGGAGAAAUACUUGGCCUGUGCGAGGCGGUCGAGGAUAUCCUCGAUUCUCGGGAGGGGAUGGACAUCAGAGCUAAUUAGCUCGUUCACCUUUCUAUAAUCGAUACAAAACCGUUUGGUCUUGUCGCGCUUAGUGACGAGGGUGACAGGGCUCGAGAAAGGUGAAAAGGAUUGCUCUAUAAUGCCAUUCUCCAGCAUUUGUUGGACUUGAUUACGGAUUUCUUGUUGGUCACAUAUCGGGACACGAUAUGGCCGUAUGGUAAUUAUUUUGUCGGAAUUCGUGGGUAUUUUUACGGGUGGAAUCCGUAAGCAUGGUAUGUUGAAUUUGUUCUGUGUGAAGAUGUGAUUGUAUCUUUGUAAAAGUGUUGUGAACUGGGGUGUAUAGAGAGGAUUGUGUGUCGUGUUGUAGCAUGUAUGUGGUAAAGGAUUUUGUUGGGUCUUAGUGUGAGUGUCGAGUUCGUGGUGUGGGUUUGUCAUGUGAUAUUUGUGUGACGACGUAUGAUCACCUAUGUGCUUGGUAUGCGAGUUGUCCCGCUGUAGGGGUAUGUUUUGGGCAUUCUGGUUACCAAUUGAAGCCGUGGUGGCAUUGUUAUUUGAGGGCAUGUAAAAAAGGCAAUUGGCCUUAGUGAAAAAAUGGCAUGUAGAUAAGGGUUUUUUUUUUCAAUGAAUGCACGCAAUGGUUGUCAUAGGCGGAAGGUUUGGCUGUAUGGUAAGAUCUUUGUGACAUCGCCUGACAUUGCCAGUAGGUGCAUACAUUUGGUACAUGGUUAAAAUGGUAGGAUGGGGUAGACAAUGGGGCGCCCAGCUGGAAUAUAGUGCAUUUAUUAAAAUCUAUUGCUAAUUUGAAUUUGUGGAGGCUAUUAAGGCUAAGAAUUCCAAAUGGUAACGGUGCAUUCACUACAUGGAAAUUCUCUCUUCGGGAUAUUUGUCCUAUGGUUAGAGGGAGAGACAGUUUACCCAUUGUUUUUGCAAAACCAUCCAGGGUUUGGAGAUCCAGUGAAUGUCUCUUAAGGGUUAACUUAGGCAGGUGAGUUUUUAACAUAUGGUAGAGGUUAUAUGGCACUAUAUUCAGGCUGGCGCCUGUAUCAAUUAAAAAGGGGCAUGGUAUAUUAGGGGCUAGUAAAAGUUUUACAGUCAGUUGGGUUAGGGAGCCUACCUCAGUCUCGAAAAGUCUGCUCUGCUGGGGUGUCUCUGGCUUGACUUGGUUGCUGGGGACUCGGGACUGGUUGCUUUGGGACUGAUUGCACUGUCCUGGCACUUUGAUAUCGGUUGCUCGGGACUGAUUGCACUGUCCGGUCUUUUUCGUGGGUCGCGGGACUGGUCGAUGCCGGCAUUCGCUGUGCCAGUGUCUCGCGCCGCAGAACUUACAGUUGGACGGUGGAAGAGGUGCAUUCCAGGCACCUGGGCGUCGAGGUGUGUUGUGGUACGGACCCGACAUCGUGGGCGGUUGGUCCUCUCUGUGUCGCGUUGUCGGUACACUGGGCCCGUGGAUCCGCUGUACCAGUCGGAACCACUCUCCUAGGUUCUCGGGAGGCACUACGCGGACUAGACGCUGGUCGGAGAAUGGCAACCCUUCUGUCAGCGUCUCGAGGAUCACCUCCUGCGGGAGUCCUAGUUGUAGCCCCAUGGCGGUUUUCUCCCGGUAGUAGGUCUCUAGGUUGGCUUGUCCAGUAAGCUUCAUGGCGAAAUAUUUCGCAAAGGACGCUUCGCUCGACUCAGGAUAGAGAUCUAAGAGGAUUUGUCUCACCUGGAAAUAGCUCCGGUCGGCCAGCCGAAGUUUCCUGAAAAGCUCCAGGGGUUGUCGCACCAGGUAGUUUGGUAGACGGAGCAGUUUUUCUUUUUCUUCUAUGGCGGCGUCUUCCAUUUUCCGGUCGAAUACUUGGAAAAACUGGAUCGCGCUGUAUGUUCCAUUGAAAGGCGAGAUUGUCGGUCCUGUAGGGUCGCAUGACCUACCCUGGGACAGCGCGGCGGUGAACUGCUGAAUGACAUCCGCUAGAGGGCCCGUCUCCUCUCUGCCGGUCAUUUCCUGUCUGCUGCCUUCUUCCCUUUCUUUCGUUGGGUCGUCCUUCUUUACGCCGAUUGAAUCUUGGUUAAUCUCCAUCUCUUUAUCCUGUCGACUUAAUCCGUCUGUCGCAAUAUCGUUGCGGAAUUUCUUGUUGUUGGAUGAGAAUGGUGUAGAUUGUUGGAAGCGCAGUCGUUUGAGUGGAAAGUGAAGCAUACAGUGGGGAAUAACCAGGACACGUGAUGGGGUUUUGGAAAUAAAAGGCAACUGGUCGGAGGAAAGAAAGGCUUUGGAGAAGAUGGAGCGGAUUGUCUAUUAACUAUCUAAUCACAUGGCGGUGAUUGACUUAGCUGAAAAGGAUGAACGGGGGAGGUCUCUAGAGCAGGUGUUACCUCGGGGGGAGCGAAGCGACAACUGACAAUUCUUGGUUCUCGAUUUAACACGAGAACCCUUCUUACUUCCCAUUGGUGGAAAGGUGUGACGUGGCGGUUCCCUAUUGGUCUACGUUACUUCUUUAUCCUAAAACAUGUCCCAGCUUGACCAGGAAGUAAUAGUUUGUUGAACUCAACUUUUUAUUAGUUCCGCGAUAAUAAAACGGGGUAUAACUUUCCUAAUGAUGGUGCUAACUUCUAAGCUUCUUUUCUAGGCCUUUCUUCUAAGUCUUUCUAUCCUCCAAUGUUAUCUUUGUUCUUUUAUUGAAACAAAUCAUACAUUUUAUACAUAUUGGAUUGACUAUUGGCAUCUAUGUAUGUACAAAUUAUGACAUAUAUAUUGCUAAAAGUAUAAAUAACAUGUACAUAAAAAAAAACAAAGCUUAAUUCUGAGUCCUAAUAUUUUUUUCAUAAAAAAAGCAUCCAAAUAGUGUAUAAAUACGGCAUUUCUGCAGCCCCCCCGACAAAAGUUCACUAAAAGAGUUAAAUAUUCUAAAAAAAAAUUUGGUAUAUAUAUUGCUAAAUGUGUAAAAAAUAUGUAUAUAAAAAAGCAAAGCUUAAUUCUAAAUUUUAAUAUUUUUUUUAUAAGAAAAGCUGCAGAAAAACAAAUAGGGAUAAUGGGAGUUAUUUUGCCAUUUUCAAAAAUUAAUUGUGAAAGAAUAAAUAAAUGAGUAAAUAGGGACAAAUAUUAAAUAGCAAAUUAUAUAUAAAGAAUGUCUUUUUUCAAUAAAUUAAUUCGAUGUAUGUAUAUAGCAAGGGCAGUCUGUACUGAAAGCAUUAUGUUGUGUGUUCAAUUUAAGUGUAGGAUUUUUACUAUUAGCUUUUUUACAGUUUAUACAAUUUUCUGUUUUUGUACAUGAAUUAGAAAUGUGGCCCUUGCUACCACAUUUCGCACAAGUGUUUUCUGAUUCUUUACAGUUUUUAUAUUUAUGAAAAUCAAGACAUUUAGUGCAUCUAUUAACAAGAAAAAUUUCCGUCCAUUUCAUUACUCUCCAUCCAAAUCUAAAUCUGUAUAAAUUAUUUUCAAUUGUUGAUCUAUUUUUCAAUUGUGAAAAUGUGUUUGAAUCAAUAUUUAUAAGCCAAUCAUUUGUUAAAUUUGUUUUUAUAUACACUAAACGGUUUUAAUUCAGCAUUAGGUAAAUUUAAACUUUCUUUGAAAUAAUCUAUUAUAUGUUCUUUGCCAAAAUCUUCUUCAACAUUUAAUAUUUUAAUUGUAGGAGACCUACCUUUGGGAACUUUUGGAAUUAGCUUGGACCUAAGAUGUUCAUUUUCAUUUAUGAAAUUUACUAUUGUGUUUACAUUUUCUAAUGUGGGAACUUCUAUUGUGCAUCCCUUUUUGUUGGGAAUAGCAUUGGCUCUAACUAUUUUUAGAUUAGACAAAGAAAUAUUUUCCUUAAGGAAUUGCACUAUAUUGGUAUUUUCAGGGAGUUUUGAUUCAAUUAAUAUUUUCCCUAUUAGAUUAGGGGAACUUUUUGGCUGGGCUAUGGAAGUUGGUGCAAUUGGUAUGUUAGAAGCCAAAGCUGCACUAUAACUUUUCUCACUUUUUUCCAUUAAUAUUUUCAAUUUUUCAUUGAUUAGAGCAUUAUUUUCACUUAUUAAAUCUUGAGUAGAUUUUUUAAAUCAUCAAUUUUUUCCUCAAAAUUUUUUUGAAUAUUUUCAAUAAUAUUUUCUUGAUUCUUUAAUAAAUCGUCCAAUUUAGUAUUAAAAGCCAUAUUUUCUACAUUUUCUGGUUAAACUUUUAUAAAUUCAUUCAUAUCUGUUUGAAUUAAAUUUAAAUUCUUUUUUUGAGCAUCCAUUUUCGGAUUUUUGGCAUUUAAGAAUGUGGAAAUAUUUCCCAUAAGUGUUUCCAGCAUAGGAAACAUUUUUUUACCUAAAGAAUUUAUCUCCAUUUUUAAAUUAAAAAGUAUACCAAACCUAAACCAAACCUAAUGGUGUUGUAGCCCAGGGGUGUGUGGACCUGGUUCAGUCAAACCUAAUGGUGUUGUAGCCCAGGGGUGUGUGGAUCUGGUUCUGUCAAACCUAAUGGUGUUGUAGCCCAGGGGUGUGUGGACCUGGUUCUUUCAAACCUAAUGGUGUUGUAGCCCAGGGGUGUGUGGAUCUGGUUCUGUCAAACCUAAUGGUGUUGUAGCCCAGGGGUGUGUGGAUCUGGUUCUGUCAAACCUAAUGGUGUUGUAGCCCAGGGGUGUGUGGAUCUGGUUCUGUCAAACCUAAUGGUGUUGUAGCCCAGGGGUGUGUGGAUCUGGUUCUGUCAAACCUAAUGGUGUUGUAGCCCAGGGGUGUGUGGACCUGGUUCUUUCAAACCUAAUGGUGUUGUAGCCCAGGGGUGUGUGGACCUGGUUCUGUCGAACCUAAUGGUGUUGUAGCCCUGGGGUGUGUGGACCUGGUUCUUUCAAACCUAAUGGUGUUGUAGCCAAGGGGUGUGUGGACCUGGUUCUAUCGAACCUAAUGGUGUUGUAGCCCAGGGGUGUGUGGACCUGGUUCUGUCGAACCUAAUGGUGUUGUAGCCCAGGGGUGUGUGGACCUGGUUCUUUCAAACCUAAUGGUGUUGUAGCCCAGGGGUGUGUGGACCUGGUUCAGUCAAACCUAAUGGUGUUGUAGCCCAGGGGUGUGUGGAUCUGGUUCUGUCAAACCUAAUGGUGUUGUAGCCCAGGGGUGUGUGGACCUGGUUCUUUCAAACCUAAUGGUGUUGUAGCCCAGGGGUGUGUGGAUCUGGUUCUGUCAAACCUAAUGGUGUUGUAGCCCAGGGGUGUGUGGAUCUGGUUCUGUCAAACCUAAUGGUGUUGUAGCCCAGGGGUGUGUGGAUCUGGUUCUGUCAAACCUAAUGGUGUUGUAGCCCAGGGGUGUGUGGAUCUGGUUCUGUCAAACCUAAUGGUGUUGUAGCCCAGGGGUGUGUGGACCUGGUUCUUUCAAACCUAAUGGUGUUGUAGCCCAGGGGUGUGUGGACCUGGUUCUGUCGAACCUAAUGGUGUUGUAGCCCUGGGGUGUGUGGACCUGGUUCUUUCAAACCUAAUGGUGUUGUAGCCAAGGGGUGUGUGGACCUGGUUCUAUCGAACCUAAUGGUGUUGUAGCCCAGGGGUGUGUGGACCUGGUUCUGUCGAACCUAAUGGUGUUGUAGCCCAGGGGUGUGUGGAUCUGGUUCUGUCGAACCUAAUGGUGUUGUAGCCCAGGGGUGUGUGGACCUGGUUCUGUCGAACCUAAUGGUGUUGUAGCCCAGGGGUGUGUGGACCUGGUUCUUUCAAACCUAAUGGUGUUGUAGCCAAGGGGUGUGUGGACCUGGUUCUGUCGAACCUAAUGGUGUUGUAGCCCUGGGGUGUGUGGACCUGGUUCUGUCGAACCUAAUGGUGUUGUAGCCCUGGGGUGUGUGGACCUGGUUCUUUCAAACCUAAUGGUGUUGUAGCCAAGGGGUGUGUGGACCUGGUUCUGUCGAACCUAAUGGUGUUGUAGCCCAGGGGUGUGUGGACCUGGUUCUGUCGAACCUAAUGGUGUUGUAGCCCUGGGGUGUGUGGACCUGGUUCUUUCAAACCUAAUGGUGUUGUAGCCAAGGGGUGUGUGGACCUGGUUCUAUCGAACCUAAUGGUGUUGUAGCCCAGGGGUGUGUGGACCUGGUUCUGUCGAACCUAAUGGUGUUGUAGCCCAGGGGUGUGUGGAUCUGGUUCUGUCGAACCUAAUGGUGUUGUAGCCCAGGGGUGUGUGGACCUGGUUCUGUCGAACCUAAUGGUGUUGUAGCCCAGGGGUGUGUGGACCUGGUUCUUUCAAACCUAAUGGUGUUGUAGCCAAGGGGUGUGUGGACCUGGUUCUGUCGAACCUAAUGGUGUUGUAGCCCUGGGGUGUGUGGACCUGGUUCUGUCGAACCUAAUGGUGUUGUAGCCCUGGGGUGUGUGGACCUGGUUCUUUCAAACCUAAUGGUGUUGUAGCCAAGGGUGUGUGGACCUGGUUCUGUCGAACCUAAUGGUGUUGUAGCCCAGGGGUGUGUGGACCUGGUUCUGUCGAACCUAAUGGUGUUGUAGCCCUGGGGUGUGUGGACCUGGUUCUUUCAAACCUAAUGGUGUUGUAGCCCAGGGGUGUGUGGACCUGGUUCUGUCGAACCUAAUGGUGUUGUAGCCAAGGGGUGUGUGGACCUGGUUCUGUCGAACCUAAUGGUGUUGUAGCCCAGGUGUGUGUGGACCUGGUUCUGUCAAACCUAAUGGUGUUGUAGCCAAGGGGUGUGUGGACCUGGUUCUUUCAAACCUAAUGGUGUUGUAGCCAAGGGGUGUGUGGACCUGGUUCUAUCGAACCUAAUGGUGUUGUAGCCCAGGGGUGUGUGGACCUGGUUCUGUCGAACCUAAUGGUGUUGUAGCCCAGGGGUGUGUGGAUCUGGUUCUGUCGAACCUAAUGGUGUUGUAGCCCAGGGGUGUGUGGACCUGGUUCUGUCGAACCUAAUGGUGUUGUAGCCCAGGGGUGUGUGGACCUGGUUCUUUCAAACCUAAUGGUGUUGUAGCCAAGGGGUGUGUGGACCUGGUUCUGUCGAACCUAAUGGUGUUGUAGCCCUGGGGUGUGUGGACCUGGUUCUGUCGAACCUAAUGGUGUUGUAGCCCUGGGGUGUGUGGACCUGGUUCUUUCAAACCUAAUGGUGUUGUAGCCCAGGGGUGUGUGGACCUGGUUCUGUCGAACCUAAUGGUGUUGUAGCCCUGGGGUGUGUGGACCUGGUUCUUUCAAACCUAAUGGUGUUGUAGCCAAGGGGUGUGUGGACCUGGUUCUAUCGAACCUAAUGGUGUUGUAGCCCAGGGGUGUGUGGACCUGGUUCUGUCGAACCUAAUGGUGUUGUAGCCCAGGGGUGUGUGGAUCUGGUUCUGUCGAACCUAAUGGUGUUGUAGCCCAGGGGUGUGUGGACCUGGUUCUGUCGAACCUAAUGGUGUUGUAGCCCAGGGGUGUGUGGACCUGGUUCUUUCAAACCUAAUGGUGUUGUAGCCAAGGGGUGUGUGGACCUGGUUCUGUCGAACCUAAUGGUGUUGUAGCCCUGGGGUGUGUGGACCUGGUUCUGUCGAACCUAAUGGUGUUGUAGCCCUGGGGUGUGUGGACCUGGUUCUUUCAAACCUAAUGGUGUUGUAGCCAAGGGGUGUGUGGACCUGGUUCUGUCGAACCUAAUGGUGUUGUAGCCCAGGGGUGUGUGGACCUGGUUCUGUCGAACCUAAUGGUGUUGUAGCCCUGGGGUGUGUGGACCUGGUUCUUUCAAACCUAAUGGUGUUGUAGCCAAGGGGUGUGUGGACCUGGUUCUAUCGAACCUAAUGGUGUUGUAGCCCAGGGGUGUGUGGACCUGGUUCUGUCGAACCUAAUGGUGUUGUAGCCCAGGGGUGUGUGGAUCUGGUUCUGUCGAACCUAAUGGUGUUGUAGCCCAGGGGUGUGUGGACCUGGUUCUGUCGAACCUAAUGGUGUUGUAGCCCAGGGGUGUGUGGACCUGGUUCUUUCAAACCUAAUGGUGUUGUAGCCAAGGGGUGUGUGGACCUGGUUCUGUCGAACCUAAUGGUGUUGUAGCCCUGGGGUGUGUGGACCUGGUUCUUUCAAACCUAAUGGUGUUGUAGCCAAGGGGUGUGUGGACCUGGUUCUGUCGAACCUAAUGGUGUUGUAGCCCAGGGGUGUGUGGACCUGGUUCUGUCGAACCUAAUGGUGUUGUAGCCUGGGGUGUGUGGACCUGGUUCUUUCAAACCUAAUGGUGUUGUAGCCCAGGGGUGUGUGGACCUGGUUCUGUCGAACCUAAUGGUGUUGUAGCCAAGGGGUGUGUGGACCUGGUUCUGUCGAACCUAAUGGUGUUGUAGCCCAGGUGUGUGUGGACCUGGUUCUGUCAAACCUAAUGGUGUUGUAGCCAAGGGGUGUGUGGACCUGGUUCUUUCAAACCUAAUGGUGUUGUAGCCCAGGGGUGUGUGGACCUGGUUCUUUCAAACCUAAUGGUGUUGUAGCCCCAGGGGUGUGUGGACCUGGUUCUUUCAAACCUAAUGGUGUUGUAGCCAGGGGUGUGUGGACCUGGUUCUAUCGAACCAAAUGGUGUUGUAGCCCAGGGGUGUGUGGACCUGGUUCUUUCAAACCUAAUGGUGUUGUAGCCAAGGGGUGUGUGGACCUGGUUCUGUCGAACCUAAUGGUGUUGUAGCCCUGGGGUGUGUGGACCUGGUUCUGUCGAACCUAAUGGUGUUGUAGCCCUGGGGUGUGUGGACCUGGUUCUUUCAAACCUAAUGGUGUUGUAGCCAAGGGGUGUGUGGACCUGGUUCUAUCGAACCUAAUGGUGUUGUAGCCCAGGGGUGUGUGGACCUGGUUCUGUCGAACCUAAUGGUGUUGUAGCCCAGGGGUGUGUGGAUCUGGUUCUGUCGAACCUAAUGGUGUUGUAGCCCUGGGGUGUGUGGACCUGGUUCUGUCGAACCUAAUGGUGUUGUAGCCCUGGGGUGUGUGGACCUGGUUCUUUCAAACCUAAUGGUGUUGUAGCCCAGGGGUGUGUGGACCUGGUUCUGUCGAACCUAAUGGUGUUGUAGCCAAGGGGUGUGUGGACCUGGUUCUGUCGAACCUAAUGGUGUUGUAGCCCAGGUGUGUGUGGACCUGGUUCUGUCAAACCUAAUGGUGUUGUAGCCAAGGGGUGUGUGGACCUGGUUCUUUCAAACCUAAUGGUGUUGUAGCCCAGGGGUGUGUGGACCUGGUUCUUUCAAACCUAAUGGUGUUGUAGCCCAGGGGUGUGUGGACCUGGUUCUUUCAAACCUAAUGGUGUUGUAGCCCAGGGGUGUGUGGACCUGGUUCUAUCGAACCAAAUGGUGUUGUAGCCCAGGGGUGUGUGGACCUGGUUCUUUCAAACCUAAUGGUGUUGUAGCCAAGGGGUGUGUGGACCUGGUUCUGUCGAACCUAAUGGUGUUGUAGCCCUGGGGUGUGUGGACCUGGUUCUGUCGAACCUAAUGGUGUUGUAGCCCUGGGGUGUGUGGACCUGGUUCUUUCAAACCUAAUGGUGUUGUAGCCAAGGGGUGUGUGGACCUGGUUCUGUCGAACCUAAUGGUGUUGUAGCCCAGGGGUGUGUGGACCUGGUUCUGUCGAACCUAAUGGUGUUGUAGCCCUGGGGUGUGUGGACCUGGUUCUUUCAAACCUAAUGGUGUUGUAGCCAAGGGGUGUGUGGACCUGGUUCUGUCGAACCUAAUGGUGUUGUAGCCCUGGGGUGUGUGGACCUGGUUCUUUCAAACCUAAUGGUGUUGUAGCCAAGGGGUGUGUGGACCUGGUUCUGUCGAACCUAAUGGUGUUGUAGCCCAGGUGUGUGUGGACCUGGUUCUGUCAAACCUAAUGGUGUUGUAGCCAAGGGGUGUGUGGACCUGGUUCUUUCAAACCUAAUGGUGUUGUAGCCCAGGGGUGUGUGGACCUGGUUCUUUCAAACCUAAUGGUGUUGUAGCCCUGGGGUGUGUUGACCUGGUUCUGUCAAACCUAAUGGUGUUGUAGCCCAGGGGUGUGUGGACCUGGUUCUUUCAAACCUAAUGGUGUUGUAGCCCAGGGGUGUGUGGACCUGGUUCUAUCGAACCAAAUGGUGUUGUAGCCCAGGGGUGUGUGGAUCUGGUUCUUUCAAACCCAAUGGUGUUUUAGCCCAGGGGUGUGUGGACCUGGUUCUAUCGAACCAAAUGGUGUUGUAGCCCAGGGGUGUGUGGACCUGGUUCUUUCGAACCCAAUGGUGUUGUAGCCCAGGGGUGUGUGGAUCUGGUUCUUUCAAACCCAAUGGUGUUUUAGCCCAGGGGUGUGUGGACCUGGUUCUGUCGAACCCAAUGGUGUUGUAGCCCAGGGGUGUGUGGAUCUGGUUCUGUCAAACCUAAUGGUGUUGUAGCCCAGGGGUGUGUGGAUCUGGUUCUGUCGAACCUAAUGGUGUUUUAGCCCAGGGGUGUGUGGAUCUGGUUCUGUCGAACCUAAUGGUGUUGUAGCCCAGGGGUGUGUGGAUCUGGUUCUGUCAAACCUAAUGGUGUUGUAGCCAAGGGGUGUGUGGACCUGGUUCUGUCGAACCUAAUGGUGUUGUAGCCCAGGUGUGUGUGGAUCUGCUUCUGUCAAACCUAAUGGUGUUGUAGCCCUGGGGUGUGUGGAUCUGGUUCUUUCAAACCCAAUGGUGUUUUAGCCCAGGGGUGUGUGGACCUGGUUCUGUCGAACCCAAUGGUGUUGUAGCCCAGGGAUGUGUGGGCCUGGUUCUGUCAAACCUAAUGGUGUUGUAGCCCAGGGGUGUGUGGAUCUGGUUCUGUCAAACCUAAUGGUGUUGUAGCCCAGGGAUGUGUGGGCCUGGUUCUGUCAAACCUAAUGGUGUUGUAGCCCAGGGGUGUGUGGAUCUGGUUCUGUCAAACCUAAUGGUGUUGUAGCCAGUGCUGUAGUCGAAAAAUUAGCAUAGGGUAUACGCUUGAGAAUAUAAAUUUUUGGUAAAAAUAAACAAGGUUAUUUUUAAUUAUAUUUUUAUUUGAAAAAAAGAUGUAAAAUGUUACAUACAACUUUUACAUAAAAAUGGCCCAUAAUGACUGCCGAGAUGCAUCUGUAUUUUUUCUGGCACAAACUCUUGAUCUAGUGUCAGUAGAUGAUCUAUGAUGUAAAAGCCAUGAUUGAACGUAUUUUUUCGUCUGAAACAUUUCGAUUGGUGGUCCAUUUGAAUUUAUGAACAUUAAGUUCGAAACAUUUGGUAUUAGCAAAGAAGUCCGCAAGUUUGUUAUUAUAUCAUUCAUCAGGCUGAAACCUCACUCACAUUCAGCUGUUGAACAGGGCAAUGUUGAAAUUGCCCUGAAAAAUGGUUGAAGUGUUUCGGGAACAUUGUUUUUAUCAUCAACAAAAUCUCUCAAGCCGUUAAUGCAUUUCAUUUCAUCUAAGUUAAACCUUCGACAAAUACGUCUCAUUUCGACCUCUCCAUAUCGAACAUUUUCUGCGUCAAAAUUGUUUGGUUCUAGAGCUGAAAUAUCCUUAAUUAAUUGCUCAUUAGUUUUCAGCCGCUUCAAGAGCUAGCAAUGGUGUUGUAGCCCAGGGGUGUGUGGACCUGGUUCUGUCGAACCUAAUGGUGUUGUAGCCCAGGGGUGUGUGGACCUGGUUCUGUCGAACCUAAUGGUGUUGUAGCCAAGGGGUGUGUGGAUCUGGUUCUGUCAAACCUAAUGGUGUUGUAGCCCAGGGGUGUGUGGACCUGGCUCGGACAAGCCCAGACAUUGCCUAUGCAGUAAGUCAAUUGGCUCGCUAUUGUUCAAAGUACACUAGAAAACACUGGGUUGCUCUCUCUCUCUCUCUGCGAAACAAAUUUUAAGAUACUUAAAAUCUUCAUAGCAUCUAGGCAUCACCUAUAGACGGACUGGAAAACAACUGUGUGUCUAUUCGGAUGCAGAUUGGGGAACCAACCUGGAAGACAGAAAGAGCACAUCGGGUUAUGUAGUGAUGUUUGCAGGCACUCCAAUCCUAUGGCGAAGUUCAAAGCAAACUGUCACCGCCCUCAGCACAAUGGAGGCGGAAUACAUUUCCCUAUCAUCGUCAUUCAGGGAAGUGACAUGGAUCAGGGAGUUCCUGAACCAUUUGGACCAUCCAGGUUCUUCAAACUGGGAGUCUGAGCAAUUUUCGCCCUUAGCUCCUUAACAGAGAGAUCAGCGGAGGCCAACUUUACAUGGUUGGCACUGUUACGCAGAGUCUGCGCGUAGCUGGUCCGAGAAGGCUUGGUCGGCUUAGCACUGACAUUGGCUGGCGGCGUGGUUUUCGUCACAGAGGGUGAUUUUGGGAGUUGAAUUGGCAGCGGGUUUUGCUGCGGGAGUGGAGAUAGCGGCUGUAGCGACCUUAAGCUUUUUUUCGUAAGCCUCUCGGAGUUCCUCCGUUUUUAAGUCACAAGCUUUGAGUUUUCUAGAUAGUAUCCCAAAAACGGAGUUUUCUAGGCUUGAAAGCAUACCGCGGACCUUAUCGAAAAUGGUACAGUAAGGAGCUGUGCCUUGUUCCCCUUUUAAAGCCAUUUCUAUUUCCCCAACAACCAUCCGGGUGCACCCUGUGAAACACGUAUUAAUCUCUUCCCGCCCUUCCCUAAAAGCCUGAUUCGAGUCAAGUGGCCCUAUAGGAGCAGGAGAUAUCCGGGGAAACUCACCAUCAGGAAAUAACUCCGUAGUCAUAGGCCGGCUCCAGUGCCAGGAGGGUUCGUCGACCGAGCGUCGCUUUUUUAUGUAUUGAUGCAUCACAGCCUCUAGCCAGAAAGGGUCCAUUGUGCCAGCGGCAGGUCCAGUCAAGGCAGGGUCCGAGGAGCCUCGCGUGUAAGCUAUCGGGUAUCUUGUAACUCAAAUCUGUGUGGCUCAUGCAGAACAUGAAACACGAAUGAAAAUUCUGCGACCCCUCAGCUAUAUACACUUGGUUCUUUUUUAUGCAGUAGAUGCGUUCCAGGGGAAUCCGCAUAAAAAAAAAUCGCACAAAAAAAGACAUACAUUUAUAUGUAAAAUGAUGGAUACGUUCCAUUUAUUAAAAAAAUCGCAUAAAACCUAAAUAAUGUUUUAAAAUGCACCAGAAAUCGCAUAAAAAAAAGAUUUAUAAAUAAUAAGAUUUAAUUUUUUUCUCAUCAUAUUUUAAUAAAUGGCACAUAUGUGUGUUAAUAACAAAAACAAAACUUAAUAUGUAAAAAAAAAAAAAAAACAUAAAGAAAACUUUAUUUAAUAUCAUAUUAAGAAUGUUUUCAUCAUUAUUCGCUGUCUGAUAAUGUGCGAACCCGUUUGUGGACUAUUAAAGUGCCUCUUGAAUAUGAUGAAAUUUUAGAACUCAAAUUUGUACCAGAUCUGACUGAUCUUAUUGCCGCUUCAUUUUUUUUUAUUGCUCUUAUAGUAGAUUCGCCUAAAUUAUAACGUUUACCUAUUGCUGUUGAUCUUUCUCCUUUCGCCAAGCAAUCGAGAAUUAUAAUUUUGGUUUCUAGCGAAAUUGCACCUCUUUUUUAUUUUUAUUAUUGUCACACAUUUUCUUUAAGAGGACUAAAAAUUAUAGAAAAAACUUAAUGUACAAUUACGCACUAAAAUUAUUCAAAAAAACUUACAAUUCACUUGAGUAAAUUUAUCUUCCGGUUUUCGGUAGUAACCUUCUUUCACAAAGUUUUAUUUUCUAAUGCUUUCCAAUAUGCAGGCUUUUUUAAUUAGUUUCAUACAAAAACAAAAUGCAGCAUAAAAACACACAAUUUUAACGAGGUAUUUUUGUUUUUGUCUCUUUUGUUUUUAAGAACAAAUCAAGAGAAAACAUGUCAAUAAAAGAAAAAAGAAAUUUGUAACGGCAGCUGGCACGCCGGCGGGUUUUCAGUUUUGAUUUCGGUUUUGCACGAGUUGUGUAAGACACCGGCAGGCGCAGAAUAAAAGACAUUGGAACUUCCCCUCUACUGUUUGUUGGAUAACUUAACAUACAACCAGGAUGUUACAAAAUUCUUUCUUUGUAUUGAUUGCGUAAUAGUAGAGUUGUAGUUGUUAUUCUUAUUCGUUUUCAGAAAAAGUGAAUAACCAAAAAAAAAUUUUCGAAAUUCGAAUACAUUUUUUUUUUCUUGCACCGCAUAACUCCAAAACCGCAUAAAAAAAACGCAUAAAAAGAGAACAAAGUGUAUAUUUUGUGUGUGUGUGUGGCAAACAGACUGUCAUCUAAUGCUCUUAACUAAAAUAAGCUUCAUUUGUUUACCUUUCCUUAGAAAGAGAAGCUUUGUUUUUCAUAUCUGAGGAUAUAGCCAUGUUGAAUAACCUCCAUUGAAUAAGUCCAUGUGUGCGAGGAAUGAGGUUUCGGCAGCUUUGAUGUCCGGGCAGGAGAGUGAGUCUGCCCGGUGUUGGUUGCUGCAGCGGAAGCUUUUGAGGGGAAUGGCGGUGCAGUUGGUGGCCCACAGUGGAAGUACUUGGGUGGUCUGUUGCUGAUGAUGUUGCGGUGACGUAGGUCCCUGCAAUUGCGGCAGGGGUGUGUGGAUUGGGUCCGCUCAAAACAGAAAUUACACACCUUCCGCUGUAAGCUUGAAGGCAAGCUUUUUCAGAGAAAACCUUGAAGACAAUCACAACACAGCCAUCUAGGUAACAGGCCCGUUGGAGGAAAAGGAAUUCUGGUAGACACAAGUAGAUUGUGGGAGCAUCGACAAUGGGAAGUGAAAGCUUUGGAGAGUUGGAUAGGGGUCGUGGCUGAGGGAAAAAGGCUUCGCCAAAGAACACUGGAGUCGGCCAACUCAGAGAGGGUGGUUGGAAUUUAAAUCUCUCUUCAGAAACUGGCUUGUUGGAAUAAGCUUCUUUCUUCGUCCAAGUUUCCAACAGAAUCUCUUCUGGAGGAAAUAAAUUUAAGCAACCGUGCUUUAUUUGACCAUCUGUCAAAAAAUUACCUUGUGGAAAUUGAUUGAUUUUAAAGUCUAUCCUGUCAAGAAGGGCGUCAGGACAACAUGAUGGCGAAAGACAAAUAGUACACAGAGGGAUUGACAUGGCAUUAACUUCACAUUGAACAAACAGCAUUCACACACGACAAAUGUUCAUCACCUGUUUUCCCCACAUUAUAGUUGAAAAUUUGCCAUUUGGCCCUACCUGAAGCGCGUCCACAGUGGUCCUUGCUUGUAUACCAACCUGAAGGUCAUCAGUAUCUCUUCAGUUAUUUGGAAGUUCUUCUCAUUUAUAUGCACAAAUUGUGCAACAUUUGUUCCAACAUUGUGAGCUAUUUCUUGUAUACAAAUAAAAUGUGCCCUGUCAUUUGUGAUCAUCUAUAAAUUUUGUUCACAGAAUAUGCUCCCCCCAAUGUUGGGUUAGAAUCUUGUCAGGGGAAAAUUUGUAGAUUUCACCAGAAUUUUAUUACUACUUCUAGUGUUUUUUUUUUUAAUUGAAAUUUCUUAGUCCUCAAAGUAUUAAUGCCUUGUAUAUUUUGAGUAUUUUAUAAAAGCCUUAGAGAUUGAAUUGUCCUUAUUUCAUUUCCUUUUGGCCCCAUAUAAGAGCUAUCCAGAAUAUUAAAUGUUAAUGUGAUAAAUUGUUGUGGUUUACAAUACAUACAUUAUCCCAUAAUAUCAUUAAGAGGAGUCUACUCAUUGUAGAAUUUGUUGUGGGUCCUGUUCUAGUCUGGUGGCUUCCAUGCAUGUCUACCCACCCAUAUAGUGGAUGUACUUUGACACAAUUGUAAUCAUGGGCCAGGUUUGUGGUGGUUGGAAUGUCGCCAGGACUUCGCAGUGUGACCUCUAUAUUGUCGCUAGAUUAGAUUUCUUUCUCGGGGACCAUGCUGACCCAACUAAUUCAAGUCUGGAAACCAUAGCCUUUAAUUGGUGCAAUUAUGUGGUUAUUUAAUUGAAUUUUCCCUUUUAACACUUUGCUAUAUAGAUUCUAAAAGGAUUUUGAAACAUAACAAACAAAAAGACACUAUACACAACAUAAACAAAAAGUUUUUAUUUAUAAUGUUUGUAUUAUCAGUAAGGUUGACCCAAAUAGGUACUGUAAAUAAUGUCAUUAUGAUACCAGACACUUGUUAGAUAUGACAAUGGAAUUGUUAACAUAUAUUUAUGAUCUGUAUAUAGUGGCCUCUCUAGUUGAUUAGCUAGCUAUGCAAAUUUACUUACUUAUUUCUUUGUAAUUAUGUAAAUAAUUUCACCCUUCAUAUAUGUAAAAUAUUUUUGUUUAAUAAAUUCCAAUAAUGAGAAUGGUGUCUUUAUUUACAUCCUGGCAAUGCAACAUCUACACAGUCAUCUUCCAUUGAAUGGGGAAUAUUUAGAGCUCUUUCCACCUUUAUCCCACACCUUGAUGGUUGCCAGCAUUGAUACAACAGUCUGUUGUUCUUUCUACAAGGGUGGAUCAAUGAUAAACAAUAAAAGUUUAAUAGAAAAGGAAACAAAUGUAUAUACACUUUUAAAUUGAACUCUGUUGUUAUAUUAG
This is a non-coding RNA of Cordylochernes scorpioides, 33758 nucleotides long. The record is from the annotation of a GenBank genome assembly. Lineage: Eukaryota; Metazoa; Arthropoda; Arachnida; Pseudoscorpiones; Chernetidae.